RNAcentral lists this ribosomal RNA (254 nucleotides) under uncultured bacterium. Its description in RNAcentral is "partial 16S ribosomal RNA". It matches the Rfam family "Bacterial small subunit ribosomal RNA", at positions 524 to 776 of the family's 1533-position model. The record is from RNAcentral.
GACGGAGGAUGCAAGUGUUAUCCGGAAUCACUGGGCGUAAAGCGUCUGUAGGUGGUUUAAAAAGUCUACUGUUAAAGCUUGAAGCUUAACUUCAAAAAUGCCGUAGAAACUUUUAAACUUGAGUAUGGUAGGGGUAGAGGGAAUUUCCAGUGGAGCGGUGAAAUGCGUAGAUCUUGGAAAGACCACCAAUGGCGAAGGCACUCUACUGGGCCAUUACUGACACUAAGAGACGAAAGCUAGGGGGAGCAAAUGGG